CAAGUGUGCGGCGGCUUACCAUGCAGUCGAGGGGCAGCACGGGUAGCAAUACUUGGUGGCGACCGGCGCAAGGGUGCGUAACGCGUGAGCAACAUGCCCGUAUCAGGGGGAUAAUCCAGGGAAACUUGGUCUAAUACCCCAUAGUAAUUUCGUAAGGCAUCUUAUGGGAUUUAAAGCUUUGGUGGAUACGGAUUGGCUCGCGUGACAUUAGCUAGAUGGUAAGGUAACGGCUUACCAUGGCUAUGAUGUCUAGGGGUUCUGAGAGGAAGGUCCCCCACACUGGAACUGAGACACGGUCCAGACUCCUACGGGAGGCAGCAGUGAGGAAUAUUGGACAAUGGAUGGAAAUCUGAUCCAGCCAUGCCGCGUGAAGGAAGAAUGUCCUAUGGAUUGUAAACUUCUUUUGUAUGGGAGCAAUAAGGUCUUCGUGAAGACUGAUGAGAGUACCAUACGAAUAAGCAUCGGCUAACUCCGUGCCAGCAGCCGCGAUAAUACGGAGGAUGCGAGCGUUAUCCGGAUUUAUUGGGUUUAAAGGGUGCGUAGGCUGUUAUAUAAGUCAGUGGUGAAAUAUUCGGGCUCAACCGGGAUACUGCCAUUGAUACUGUAUAGCUGGAAUAUGGUUGCUGUGGGUGGAAUGUGUGGUGUAGCGGUGAAAUGCAUAGAUAUCACACAGAAUAUCGAUUGCGAAGGCAACUCACAAAGCCAUUAUUGACGCUGAUGCACGAAAGUGUGGGGAUCAAACAGGAUUAGAUACCCUGGAUAGUCCACACUGUAAACGAUGAUAACUAGCUGUCGGCGAUAGAUAGUCGGUGGCUAAGCG
This 820-nucleotide ribosomal RNA is filed under the name uncultured Clostridium sp. RNAcentral's name for it is "bacterial SSU rRNA". It matches the Rfam family "Bacterial small subunit ribosomal RNA", at positions 32 to 853 of the family's 1533-position model. Lineage: Bacteria; Bacillati; Bacillota; Clostridia; Eubacteriales; Clostridiaceae. The record is from RNAcentral.